GAUGAACGCUAGCUACAGGCUUAACACAUGCAAGUCAGGGGCAGCAUGAACUUAGCUUGCUAAGUUUGAUGGCGACCGGCGCACGGGUGAGUAACACGUAUCCAACCUUCCGUUUACUCAGGGAUAGCCUUUCGAAAGAAAGAUUAAUACCUGAUAGUAUGGUGAGAUUGCAUGAUAACACCAUUAAAGAUUUAUUGGUAAACGAUGGGGAUGCGUUCCAUUAGGUAGUAGGCGGGGUAACGGCCCACCUAGCCGACGAUGGAUAGGGGUUCUGAGAGGAAGGUCCCCCACAUUGGAACUGAGACACGGUCCAAACUCCUACGGGAGGCAGCAGUGAGGAAUAUUGGUCAAUGGCCGAGAGGCUGAACCAGCCAAGUCGCGUGAGGGAUGAAGGUUCUAUGGAUCGUAAACCUCUUUUAUAAGGGAAUAAAGUGCGGGACGUGUCCCGUUUUGUAUGUACCUUAUGAAUAAGGAUCGGCUAACUCCGUG
RNAcentral lists this ribosomal RNA (489 nucleotides) under uncultured bacterium. Its description in RNAcentral is "bacterial SSU rRNA". It matches the Rfam family "Bacterial small subunit ribosomal RNA", at positions 28 to 507 of the family's 1533-position model. The record is from RNAcentral.